Molecule: unclassified non-coding RNA, 347 nt
Filed under: soil metagenome
Description: partial contains 5.8S ribosomal RNA, internal transcribed spacer 2, and large subunit ribosomal RNA
Rfam family: 5.8S ribosomal RNA (bases 1-120)
Source: RNAcentral
GAUGAAGAACGCAGCAAAAUGCGAUAAGUAAUGUGAAUUGCAGAAUUCAGUGAAUCAUCGAAUCUUUGAACGCACAUUGCGCCCGCUGGUAUUCCGGCGGGCAUGCCUGUUCGAGCGUCAUUUCAACCCUCAAGCCCCCGGGUUUGGUGUUGGGGAUCGGCUCUGCCCUCUGGGCGGUGCCGCCCCCGAAAUACAUUGGCGGUCUCGCUGCAGCCUCCAUUGCGUAGUAGCUAACACCUCGCAACUGGAACGCGGCGCGGCCAUGCCGUAAAACCCCAACUUCUGAAUGUUGACCUCGGACCAGGUAGGAAUACCCGCUGAACUUAAGCAUAUCAAUAAGCGGAGGA